RNAcentral lists this long non-coding RNA (655 nucleotides) under Mustela putorius furo (domestic ferret). RNAcentral describes it as "lncRNA (ENSMPUG00000031829.1)". Lineage: Eukaryota; Metazoa; Chordata; Mammalia; Carnivora; Mustelidae. The record is from RNAcentral.
CUCACUUACCUUGAUGGUUCUACAACAUUGCGGGUGUGGCUAAGGGGAUGCUAGGUUUGUGAAUGGCAUCCCUCAUAAGCAUUGCUGCAGAAAAAAGGUUGCAAUUGCUGCUUUACUGGCUGGAAUGACUUUCAAAGAGCAGAUUGGAUUUUUCAGUCUUGAAGGGUUUCUGCUAGUGACCAAGAGACUAAAUAAUUCUUCUUUUCUGAAAUGACUCUCUCUUGGUUAGCUUCGCAGGAUUUACAAGCAGCAGAAACUCAACAUGUCCAAACCUUUCUUAUGCCUCCAUGUUAUCCAGAUCAUUCAAGACUACCACCCUACUCUCAGCCAUUCAUGCUGCAAAUUUUGGGUUCCUCUUUGAGUUGUCCCUCUCCCUCCACAUUGGGCUUUCCUGCCUUCAUCUUGCCUUCAUCUUAUAAGCACCAUGUGGAUACAUUGAGCCGUCCCAGAUAACCCAGGACGACUUCCCCAUUACACCUUAACUUAAUCCAUCUGCCACGCCCCCUUUGCCAGGUAAAGUAACAUAUCCACAGGUUUGGGAUAUUAGGAGGUAGAUGUUUGGGGGGACCAGUGUUCAGCGUACCAUACUAACUGUGACCUCCCCCAAGAAGGGAGGUCUCUGAGACUCCGGUCCCUCAUCUGUAGAACGGUGGGU